GGCCAGAAAGGUUGUAAACUGCUUUUGUAUAUGAAUAAAAAAUUCUACUUUGUAGAAAAAAUUGAAGGUAAUAUACGAAUAAGUAUCGGCAAACUCUGUGCCAGCAGCUGCGGUAAGACAGGGGAUACAAGCGUUAUCCGGACUUAUUGGGUUUAAAGGGUGCGUAGGUUGUUUUUUAAGUCAGUAGUGAAAUAUGACAGCUUAACUGUCAAACUGCUACUGAUACUGUCAAACUAGAGUGAGGUAGGAGUAACUGGAAUGUGUGGUGUAGCGGUGAAAUGCAUAGAUAUCACACAGAACACCGAUAGCGAAAGCAGGUUACUAGAUCUCAACUGACACUGAGGCACGAAGGCAUGGGUAGCAAACAGGAUUAGAUACCCUGGUAGUCCACGCAGUAAACUAUGAUCACUAACUGUUGGAUAUAAAAUAGAAAUCAAAUAUUCAGUGGUUAAGCUAAAGUGAUAAGUGAUCCACCUGAGGAAUACGAUCGCAAGAUUGAAACUCAAAGGAAUUGACGGGGGCCUGCACAAUCGGUGGAGCAUGUGGUUUAAUUCGAUGAUACGCGAAGAACCUUACCAAGACUUAAAUGUACUACGCAUAAACUAGAAAUAGUUUAGUCUUAGGACGGAGUACAAGGUGCUGCAUGGUUGUCGUCAGCUCGUGCCGUGAGGUGUAAGGUUAAGUCCUUCAACGAGCGUAACCCCCAUUAUUAGUUACCAGCGGUCAUGCCGGGCACUCUAAUAAAACUGCCAGCGCAAGCUGUGAGGAAGGUGGGGAUGACGUCAAAUCAUCACGGCCCUAA
RNAcentral lists this ribosomal RNA (802 nucleotides) under uncultured bacterium. RNAcentral describes it as "bacterial SSU rRNA". It matches the Rfam family "Bacterial small subunit ribosomal RNA", at positions 413 to 1204 of the family's 1533-position model. The record is from RNAcentral.